Molecule: long non-coding RNA, 1632 nt
Organism: Amphiprion ocellaris (clown anemonefish)
Lineage: Eukaryota; Metazoa; Chordata; Actinopteri; Pomacentridae
Exons: 7
Source: RefSeq, a predicted model, not a curated record
GACAGGUUUCAAAGUAUUGUUGACAGUGUCACUGCUGAGCUGUUUUCUGUUGGGUGUGCCUGGUAUGCAGCAACACAUGAGCAUUUACGAAACUUAUAUCACACUAUUAAUGUAUUCUUAUUUAUUUUCUAUUAAUCAGGUUAUGGAGUGUUUGCCACUAAAAACAUUGAGCAAGGAGAAUUCCUGCUGGAGUAUGUUGGAAGACACAUCACUGGAUCUGAAGGAGAGGCACUGAGCUGACGAUGCAGCAUUUCUGUACUUCUACUGUUUUCAGGGACAAUCUUUCUGUGUCGAUGGCAGUAAAGACAAGCAAGACUUGGAAGAUUCAUAAAUGAUGAUCACAUCAAGCCAAACAGCAACAUUAAAAUAAUAUUGGAUGAGCAGAAAAGGCCGCAUCUGUGUGCAUUUUCAAAGUCAAAUAUCAGUGCAGGAGAAGAAAUUGUGUAUGACUGCAGAGACCCUGACUGCCCAUGGAGACAGAAAACCAUUACCUCCUCAUGCAGGGAGCUCCAGGAAAAGGCGGUAAAUCAAAGACCGAAUCCCGCUGGAAGAGUUCAUUAGAAAACCUUGAAUCUCAGCCUGGCGUUACGAAAAUUGGGCAACUUGUUUUUAACAGCAACAAAGGCUGCAAAUGGAUGCAAUGCUGCUGAAAUUUUCCCAGGAGGGCUACGAAGUUGCAGUGAAAAGAGUUGCAAAGCAUAUUUCUGAAAAUGAGAUUAAAAUGGCACAUGUCCUAUGUUCAGAAAAGUUAAAACCAGAACAUCUUUUACAACCAAUUGCAGUGUUGGAAGAUAGUUACUUUGCCUAUUUUGUCUCCCCUCUUUGCGAAUACAGUCUGGUGGAGGUAAUUGAAAACAAGAACUUUCGUGAGAGAGAAAGUUUGACUGAGGCUCGAAGACUGGGGAUCUGCCAGGAGCUACUGCAAGGACUACAUUAAGUCCAUUCACGCGGGAUUUUGCACAGAGACCUGAAGCCUGAAAACAUUUUGUUUGAUAUCAGCAACAAACUGUUUAUCGCAGAUUUUGGAGCAAACAGAAAACUGGAUUUGGCACAGCCAACGUUGCUGUCUCAAAUGGCUGGAUCUUUUUCUUGGUCAAGUUAUGAGGAUGUUGGAGGCAUACAAUACAAGUACAAGAAAGAGUCAGAUAUCCAGGAAAUAGAACCACAGAUCUCCCUUUCCCUUGAUAUGUCAGAGGAAGAAGAUGAUGAUGAUGAUGAACCAACAGAAGUAGAUGAUGAAGUAACCAAGAAAGUCAUCAGAAAAAAGCAGUUAAGACUGGGAUGAAAAAGGAUGAAAAUGUCCUUGAAUGCAGUUUGAAGGGUAUCCAAGUGAAAAUGUCCUCAAACACCGCACACAAACAUGUCUACGACAAGAAAAAUUACUGCUUCUAUUGUCAGAAGCCUUUCGGAAAAGUUUCAAGACACCUGAUGCGAAAACAUCAAGAUGAAGUUGACGUUGCAAAGGCACUUGCACACAAGCAAGGAUCCACAAUGCGCAGCCUUCUUCUGAGCAAAAUAUGGAAUGAGGGAAACUACCGAAAUAACUGUUCAGGCCUAUCCUCUGGUUAAGGACAAAUAGUACCAAAAAAACAAACAACCUACAUGUCAUCAGCAACAGACCAUAUACCAUGC